This 394-nucleotide ribosomal RNA is filed under the name uncultured soil bacterium. Its description in RNAcentral is "bacterial SSU rRNA". It matches the Rfam family "Bacterial small subunit ribosomal RNA", at positions 26 to 425 of the family's 1533-position model. The record is from RNAcentral.
AGAUUGAACGCUGGCGGCAUGCCUUACACAUGCAAGUCGAACGGCAGCACGGGAGCAAUCCUGGUGGCGAGUGGCGAACGGGUGAGUAAUAUAUCGGAACGUGCCCAGUCGUGGGGGAUAACGCAGCGAAAGCUGUGCUAAUACCGCAUACGAUCUAUGGAUGAAAGCGGGGGAUCGCAAGACCUCGCGCGAUUGGAGCGGCCGAUAUCAGAUUAGCUAGUUGGUGGGGUAAAAGCCUACCAAGGCGACGAUCUGUAGCUGGUCUGAGAGGACGACCAGCCACACUGGAACUGAGACACGUCCAGACUCCUACGGGAGGCAGCAGUGGGGAAUUUUGGACAAUGGGCGCAAGCCUGAUCCAGCAAUGCCGCGUGCAGGAUGAAGGCCUCGGUUG